GAUGAACGCUGGCGGCGUGCCUAAUACAUGCAAGUCGAGCGAACGGACGAGAAGCUUGCUUCUCUGAUGUUAGCGGCGGACGGGUGAGUAACACGUGGAUAACCUACCUAUAAGACUGGGAUAACUUCGGGAAACCGUAGCUAAUACCGGAUAAUAUUUUGAACCGCAUGGUUCAAAAGUGAAAGACGGUCUUGCUGUCACUUAUAGAUGGAUCCGCGCUGCAUUAGCUAGUUGGUAAGGUAACGGCUUACCAAGGCAACGAUGCAUAGCCGACCUGAGAGGGUGAUCGGCCACACUGGAACUGAGACACGGUCCAGACUCCUACGGGAGGCCGCAGUAGGGAAUCUUCCGCAAUGGGCGAAAGCCUGACGGAGCAACGCCGCGUGAGUGAUGAAGGUCUUCGGAUCGUAAAACUCUGUUAUUAGGGAAGAACAUAUGUGUAAGUAACUGUGCACAUCUUGACGGUACCUAAUCAGAAAGCCCCGGCUAACUACGUG
RNAcentral lists this ribosomal RNA (497 nucleotides) under uncultured bacterium. RNAcentral describes it as "partial 16S ribosomal RNA". It matches the Rfam family "Bacterial small subunit ribosomal RNA", at positions 28 to 507 of the family's 1533-position model. The record is from RNAcentral.